AACGAACGCUGGCGGCAUGCCUAACACAUGCAAGUCGAACGAGACCUUCGGGUCUAGUGGCGCACGGGUGCGUAACGCGUGGGAAUCUGCCCUUGGGUUCGGAACAACAGUUGGAAACGACUGCUAAUACCGGAUGAUGACUUCGGUCCAAAGAUUUAUCGCCCAAGGAUGAGCCCGCGUAGGAUUAGCUUGUUGGUGAGGUAAAGCUCACCAAGGCGACGAUCCUUAGCUGGUCUGAGAGGAUGAUCAGCCACACUGGGACUGAGACACGGCCCAGACUCCUACGGGAGGCAGCAAUGGGGAAUAUUGGACAAUGGGCGAAAGCCUGAUCCAGCAAUGCCGCGUGAGUGAUGAAGGCCUUAGGGUUGUAAAGCUCUUUUACCCGGGAUGAUAAUGACAGUACCGGGAGAAUAAGCCCCGGCUAACUCCGUGCCAGCAGCCGCGGUAA
RNAcentral lists this ribosomal RNA (448 nucleotides) under uncultured bacterium. RNAcentral describes it as "partial 16S ribosomal RNA". It matches the Rfam family "Bacterial small subunit ribosomal RNA", at positions 29 to 523 of the family's 1533-position model. The record is from RNAcentral.